UAAUUACCUCGUAUUUGUUUUGGGAGAUCAUGUUUUUGUUAAUUCCAGAUAAUGAAUACAAACAAUAACACGUAUAAGUACGUGUCUCAAAGUAAACAAACAGCUACAUCGUAUGAUAACAAAAGGCCAGUCGUUCGUUGAAGGACUAGACGUACGGACGUGUUCAUUCUCGCUCGUCUUCUCGUACCAUUAAGCUGCGUACAUUCGUACAUUUAUAGAACGGAAAAAUCUAGUGACGUAUAUGCGGAUUCCCUAAGCACGGUAUCAACAUCUUCGGAAUUGCCGGCGAGAACUACUUCGAUAACGUUAGCCCAUUCGAAUGAUCUAUCGGAACAUAUGUAACCGAGCGAGCUCGAUUUAAAUGACUCGAAGGACGGCUAAGUACUCUCCUCUUGUUCGAACGUUACUGGAACGUCGAGAAUCGUCGAGGGAUCGAAGUGUGAUGCGCUUCUCUCGUGCACUCCGAGGAACAGAGAGCAUUGGUAUGAGUGCUUUUUGGACGAGAAUGAGAGAGAGAGAGAGAGAGAGAGAAAGACAACGCGAGCACUAAGAGAGAAAAAGAGAGAGAGAGAGAGAGAGAAUAUAUAUAACGUGUAUGUACGUGUCGGUUGUUAACGGUGAAAUAUCGACCAUUUUCGAAGCCACAGUCGAGCAGGAUUCUCUUGGGAUGCAAAGGGCUGCUAUGCUUAUGAUAUUAACGCGCUAACUGCCGCUCGUUUCCUGCGGUCAGCGAAACAUUAGCGUACGUAGCCCGUGGGACAACGCGUUACGAUUUUGCGGGCUCGCGUGGUAAUCAACUCGAGAGUCCUCGUUUGCCUUAUUCUUCGAAUAUUGGUAUUAAGGUAACUGGAAAAGGACAAAUAAAGAAAGAGAAAAAAAAAAGAAAAAAAAAUAAAAAGGAAGGAGAAUCUUAAUUCUCGUAUCGAUAUUAUUAUUCAUCGAAUUUAUUUCUUCGAUCGAGAACUCGGUACUCGUUUUAUUUUUACAUUUACUCAUUUAUAUUCAUUGAUUCUCGAUAUAAAAGUUGCGCCAUUAAAUUAAUUAAUAUUAAAGGGAGAACAUGCAAUUUCGUUAAUGAAAUUUUCAUCAACGAUAGUAUUAAUCAAUGAUUAAACGAUUGUAUCCUCGUUGGUCGAGAUAAAUACUAUAAACUUGAUUAGCGAUUCCGUGUGAUAUAUGAAAACGACACCAUCGGCCACAUAUUCGAGUAGGAGUUUGCUCGUUUUAGAAGCACGCGGAUACGCAUGGGAAUUCGAGUACCGUCCACUCUCCGCCAAGUUUCAUAUUUCCUCGAGUGUUCUGACAGAAAUACGAAGCCCGGAGGCGAAGUGGAUGCGUUCGCGCAGUUUCGUCGCGGCCGCGACAAACUCGAUUACAUUAAACGUUUGGUUAACAAGCAGAGCUUCGAGGGAAAAUGUUGCGAAAGGAUAACCAAUGAAAAAAGGAAAAAAAAAGAUGAGAGAGAGAGAGAGCGAGAGAAAUAAAGAAAGAAAACUAAUUUGAUAUUUUCUCCGUUUGAUAAUUUUUUUCAUUUCUUACUUUCAUUCUUUCUUUUUCUUUUUUUUUUAUUCCAAUCAUCAUCCUCGGCAUAGCCAAAAUCGAAAUCGUGAAUUCGUUCACAGAAGAUAGAAAAUCCAUUAAUCGAGCCACGACGACACGUGCUUCUCCAUAAAUUGCGGAGUACUGGAGGUACGCGUUCGGAGGGCAGUUUAAACACAGCGAAAGGGUAGGCACAUUGGGGGAGUAGUCGAGGUACUACCGCCUCCGCCAUCGCUACUGUUGCUGCUAGCCAUGUGUUGGGAUAGGUCGGCUUUAUUCCGGAAGCCAAGCUCGUACCUUCCGACUGGAAGUUAAUUCGUGCCUCGAUUUAACCGCCGGAAAAUCCAUCGACCGAUCGCCCCAUAAUACGGUAGCCGUUCGCAACAGGAUGGAAAUCAUCGAGAGAGAAAGAGAGAGAGAGAGAGAGAGAGAGAGAAGGUCGCUGCGUGUAAGCCUCACACAUCAACCCUUACCAUCAUCCCACCUUUCCGCUUCUCCUUCGUCCCACCGCGUCACCUUUCUCUCUUGCUGUUGUUAGUACUACCACUACUACUACUACUACUACUACUACUAUUACUACUGCUGCUGCUGCUGUUGCUGCUGCUGCUGCUGCUGCUGCUAUUGCUUUGCCAUACUGCUGCUUUUGGUACUGCUGUUGUUGCUGUUGCUGCUACUAGUCCGUCGAUUAAGCAUAAUAAUUAAUUAAUACUGCGAAUCCCGAAGGCCAACGUCGAGCUCGUCUCUCGCCACGGGCACCUCCUUCUCUCGGGCACUCCUCUCUCUCUCUCUCUCGCUCUCUCAUUCUGGAAACUACGGCAUUUCUCUGCCGUCGACGGUUUACGUGCCUCGCGUUAAUGCCAAUUUAGCGUCUUUCGCUGAAUCGCCGUUGGGAAAGCAUUUUAGAACGCAUUGUAAAUGGUAAUCACGCUUACGUACAACCCCAGUACGCGUCGACCAUCUUUAAAUGCAUUUGGAAAAGCACAGAUAUCGGAUAGUUUUAUUUUUCCUUUCAUUUUCAUUCUUUUUUCCUUUCUUUCUUUCUUUCUUUGUUACUUAUAUAGGUAAGAUAUCGUUCAUAAGACGAGAAGAAAAUGUGCUUCCUUUUCUUUUUUUCUUUCAUAGAAACAUUCGAACAGUUAAAACAAUCGUUCAGUUCGAGUUCUCUAACGAGUUGUUUAUCGCCUUUAACGAUUUAGCCGUGUCGUCGAAGUAAUUUUUAGGGCUAGUUUUGCAAUCGAGUAAAUCGCAGGUAAACUUUGUCUUAACUCGUCGACUGGGAAUAAGGGAGAAGGAAAAAAAAUUGGUCGCUAACAACUCUUAAUGAAAUAACUACGUCACGAGGGUGGAAAGUUUGAAAGUCACAAUCGUUUCUCUCUCUCUUUCUCUUUAUCUCUCUCUCUCUCUCUCUCUCUCUCCUUCUCUUUCUUUCGCGCGCGUUCUCUAAGGAGGAGAAGCAGAAGAAGAAGAAGAAGAAGAAAAAAUGGAAAGAAGUGGAAAAAGAAAAACUACGUUCAAGAAUCGGAAUGGUAGCGGAACUGCACGAGCGUUACUAACAUUCUCGGAAAUAGCCGAUUUCUCGAAAGCCUCGCUUUUAUCCCUCGAUCUCCUUUAUGUCUUUCGAUGUAAUCUGUCGUUUCUUUUCUUUCUUUUUUUUCCUUUUUUUCCUCUUCCUCUUUUCCUUUCUCUUCUUUUUUUUCUUGUUCCUUUUCAAAAUUAGAUUUUUCCCUUCGAACCAAAAGUCUCCCCGUUCCCUGCUAAAACGCGAUUUUCCCAUUUAAAAUUGCAUAUCCGAAGGAGGCACGAUAGGAAUAAAUAUACAUAGAACAAAGAAAGUCGUUAAAAAAAAGUUAAACGUAGGAAAAGAAAAAAAAAAUUCCUUUGGAAAUUUUUACUUUCGAUGUAAGCUUUGCUAAUUUCGUAUUCAGACGAGAUUGGAAAUCGUCAUUUCCAUUAGUUUUGCCGAAAUUUAAAUCCAUCUAUCUCAUCGCCGAUUAUCGUCGAAAUCGGCUCGCCAAUUUAUCGAACGAUAAAUAAAGUGGACAUCGAAAGAGAGGAAAAAAAAAGAAAAUGUAGAAAAAAAAAACAGUAAAAUAAAAAAAACAGUUAAAAAAACAGUAAAAAAAAAAUAGGGAGAAAAAAUUUAUUCGCGCUAGGGCAUCGUAUAUUCCGAUGUUCAAUCGGUAUCACAUACUCUUAUAACAUCCCGAUAACGUUAAACGCAAUUCAUGUUUAUAUAUAUAUAUAUAUAUAUAUAUAAAACAAUAUAUAUAUAUAUAUAUCAUAUAUUGCAGUGCAUGUACUCGACUGUAGUCCCACUAAAAUCGCUUGUAGAUCCGAUCUCUUCGACGAAUCCCAGUUUCGUGAAAAAUCGGCAUCGCAAUGACGGUCAUCCGUUAGAGCAUCGUUAAAAAUUGCCUGACUCGUUGCAUACAUAUGCAACGAGGAGUGGGCGACAGUUUUCAACGAUUCAUUCGACGUGAAUCACGUGGAAUCAAGCUUGGACGUCGUAUAAUCACUGGUAUUAUAUAUAGUCAAGUGUGCCAAUGAAAAUAGGGUUUUGCUUCGCAAUUUGAUUGAAAACUUUUGUGCGAUCAUGCCUAUCAGAAUGUUUAUGGGAUUUUUCUCGUUUCCUCUUUUUCUCCCUCUCCCCUUUUUUUAAUGUCUGUCUCUCUCUCUCUCUCUCUCUCUCUCUCUCUCUCUCUCUCUCUCUCUCUCUAUCUAUAUAUAUAUAUUCUCUUUAUAUCUUCCUCGAUGAGAAUACAUUCAUUCGCAUAUUUCCCCGAUCUCGUUAUUUCUCAUAAAGCUUUUCAUUUUAGGUACGUACCGUACGUACGUACAUGCGUUAAUACAAAAUAUUUCAAUGUUUAUUGUAUUCCAAUACUAUACAUCAAUGCAUGCAUAUCAAAAGCAACGAUUAAUUGAUAAAAUGACGAGGAAGAUAAAGUUUAUCAUUUAGAAAGUUUUGAUCAUGAAAAUAAGUAAAAGCUUUGAAUUAAUUUUUUUUCGAACUAGUUUCAUAUCUUUCAUAAACUUUGACAUCUUAAUGUUAAAAUUCAUUCUAUUUCAUAUGCUUAAUAUAAAUAAAGUAGGAGAAAGUUCGUGAUAUAUUUUUAUUGUUUUUAAUAAGAGAAAGAGAGAAUGCGAAAUAAUGAGAGAGAAAGAAAGAGAAAUCGUAUGAGAAAAAUGCUUAGAAGUGCAAAAAUUGGUCGGUUGGAAAGAGAUCAGCGAACAAAGUAGAAAACUGAAAAAAGAAAGAAAAGAAAAAGAAAAUGGUAGGUAGCUGCUGCUAUGAAAAAAAAAAAAA
Long non-coding RNA from Vespa crabro (European hornet), 4843 nucleotides. RefSeq lists it as uncharacterized. The record is from RefSeq and is a predicted model, not a curated record. The transcript is spliced from 3 exons. Lineage: Eukaryota; Metazoa; Arthropoda; Insecta; Hymenoptera; Vespidae.